UACGAAGGGGGCUAGCGUUGCUCGGAAUCACUGGGCGUAAAGCGCACGUAGGCGGACUCUUAAGUCGGUGGUGAAAUCCUGGAGCUCAACUCCAGAACUGCCUUCGACACUGAGAGUCUCGAGUCCGGGAGAGGUGAGUGGAACUGCGAGUGUAGAGGUGAAAUUCGUAGAUAUUCGCAAGAACACCAGUGGCGAAGGCGGCUCACUGGCCCGGUACUGACGCUGAGGUGCGAAAGCGUGGGGAGCAAACAGG
Molecule: ribosomal RNA, 253 nt
Filed under: uncultured bacterium
Lineage: Bacteria
Description: partial 16S ribosomal RNA
Rfam family: Bacterial small subunit ribosomal RNA
Source: RNAcentral